Long non-coding RNA from Micropterus dolomieu (smallmouth bass), 875 nucleotides. RefSeq lists it as uncharacterized. NCBI's taxonomy places the organism in Eukaryota, Metazoa, Chordata, Actinopteri, Centrarchiformes, Centrarchidae. The record is from RefSeq and is a predicted model, not a curated record. The transcript is spliced from 3 exons.
AAGUCGCGUCUGUGAAAUGAGUAAAUGUAAAUCUUGACUCGGUCAGUUUGGUUUAUUUGGCCCACUGGAUCAGAACCAGCUGGUCGGAAACGCCCGUGAGAUCCGUACUCACCUUCCCCAGGAAGAGCACAAAGUCUCCGACGGCGUUGAUUGUGGCGACGCGCAGAGCGUUCUCCACCAGGAUCACGAAGGCGUCGCGUGCAGACGUGCAGAAACUGGUGCUGUUGAUGGCCGUGGCUGCAUAUGCAUUCUGGGAAAUAAGAGCACAGGUGAGACGUCAGGAUGAAACCGGACGAAGAGGAGGAGGAGGAGGAGGAGGAAGGUCUGAGUGUUACCUGGUUGAGAUAGUUGAGGCACUUCUCCAAACACCACAGACAGCAGAUACACGUCUUCAGCAGACAGCGAGCGCACGCGUUCUCCUGCGACACAGACGGAACACGAUGAAAAACCAAACCAGCAGAUCAGAAUCAGAGGCAGGCUAGCUGUUUCCAGUCUUUAUGCUAAGCUAAGCUAACCAGCUAUAGCAUAACAUGUAGCGUGAAGACAUGAGAGAGAGGAAGAGGAAUGACUACAUGUUGAACUGCUGCGGUACAGAAACACACAGCUUGUUGCUAUAAACCAACAGAGGCUCCUUUCAUGAACAACAUGGCUGCCGGAGGAGCUGUGACGUCCCCUGAUGAACCGUCUGCUGUCACGUUUUCAACACUGGAUACACUGAGACACAGCAGCCAUGACGGAGGACAAAUGGAGGCGAGUGGCACCAACGACGCUGGACUUAAUGCUGCCUUUGUUACUGUACUCUGAGUGUGGACAGUAUGUAUGCUGGCCGUGUGCAGACAUUAAAUCAUCACCAUGACGUGACGGCGAGCGCACGA